GGCGCGUCAAGGGUUACUGAAGCAAGCUAAACUCCGAAUGCAAGAGACAAAUGCGCGGGAGUAUGCAUGCGAGGGAGAAGAUCCGUAGUCGAAAGGGAAACAGCCCAGAUCACCAGUUAAGGUCCCCAAAUCUAUGCUAAGUGGAAAAGGAUGUGGAGUUGCGUAGACAACUAGGAUGUGGGCUUAGAAGCAGCCACCAUUUAAAGAGUGCGUAAUAGCUCACUAGUCGAGUGACGCUGCGCCGAAAAUGUACCGGGGCUAAGCAUAGUACCGAAACUGUGGAUGCAUAUAUUAUAUGCGUGGUAGGAGAGCGUUCUAAGUGCGGUGAAGUUAGAGCGAGAGGACUAAUGGAGCGCUUAGAAGUGAGAAUGCCGGUAUGAGUAGCGAAAGAUAGGUGAGAAUCCUAUCCGCCGAAAGACUAAGGUUUCCUGGGGCAGGCU
RNAcentral lists this ribosomal RNA (440 nucleotides) under Lactobacillus taiwanensis. Its description in RNAcentral is "bacterial LSU rRNA". It matches the Rfam family "Bacterial large subunit ribosomal RNA", at positions 924 to 1366 of the family's 2925-position model. The record is from RNAcentral. Lineage: Bacteria; Bacillati; Bacillota; Bacilli; Lactobacillales; Lactobacillaceae.